Long non-coding RNA from Acanthopagrus latus (yellowfin seabream), 720 nucleotides. RefSeq lists it as uncharacterized. Lineage: Eukaryota; Metazoa; Chordata; Actinopteri; Spariformes; Sparidae. The record is from RefSeq and is a predicted model, not a curated record. The transcript is spliced from 2 exons.
UGGGCGUGGCUAUCUCCAUGCAGGUUGCAGUCAGGUGGGAAUCAUCAGCAGUAAUCACCUCCCCUUCCCCCCCCAGUAUAAGAAGACCGGCUUGAGAUUCACUCAUUGCCAGAUCGUUCAGUCAGCUCGAGCGCCUUUCGUGCUCUACCCUCUCCGCCUGCCUGCCUGCCUGCUUGCCCAUCACUUGCCAAACCUGUUCGGAAAGGAUUUGUUUUUCCACGCAGAGGACGCCAUCGCCACGUGGAGGGACGCCACUCUAUUUCACUGGGCACGAUCUGGAGAGCUCACCACCACUCAUCAACCACCACUGGAAUCUCGUGAAAUUAACCCUGGUGACUUUGUUGCACAUUAAAUCACUUUCACCUUGACUCUUUGUUGUCGUGUCUUGCUCUUGCGUCCAGUUUCCAAUGUGCAUCGUUCACAACACUUGGGUUGUAUCAGCAUGAAUUGAAACUAUAAAAUGUGUGUGUAUAUAUUACCUAUGGUAAGAAUGAAUCAAUGUUGAUUAAUAUUGUUCUCUUAUAUGUGUUGUCCCUAAAUUAAGAUGGUAACAUUUAAAUAUUGAGUAUUUCACAGUCAUGAUGUACAAUAUUUGAAUGUUGAGUUCAUUGACAGUAAUCUUUUAAUUUUUAAUAUGUUACUCUACUUCACUCUUGGCAGGUUUGUAUCAGAAUGAGAAUGUUCACCUUAUAAUGGAAUAAAGCAGUGAAGUCACACAUC